This is a long non-coding RNA of Rhipicephalus sanguineus (brown dog tick), 311 nucleotides long. RefSeq lists it as uncharacterized. NCBI's taxonomy places the organism in Eukaryota, Metazoa, Arthropoda, Arachnida, Ixodida, Ixodidae. The record is from RefSeq and is a predicted model, not a curated record. The transcript has 2 exons.
UUAGUGUAUUUCCGCGACGAGAACGUGAAGGCUAUGUUCAACGUGCACCAUAAGAACUCAGCCACAAAUGUCUUGGAUUAUGACUCUACAAAGUGGCACCAAGAACAAUGGCAAGACGACAAGCUUACGUCAAGGCCCAUGUGCUCCGAUUGUUCGAAUUUUGAAGGCAUUUCCUCGAGUGCCGCUGCAGCUGCCCAGAAGAAAGUGACACAAGACAUAGUUGCCUUGGCAAAAUGGUCGCCGACAUCAUGAAGGGCCAGCAUAAGCAUUUGUAGUUUUGAUUAUGAAAAUAUAUUUGAACGUAUGCCUCA